GCUGGCGGCAGGCCUAACACAUGCAAGUUGAGCGCUCGUAGCAGUACGAGAGCGGCAGACGGGAGAGUAACACGUGGGAACGUACCCUUCGGUUCGGAAUAACCCAGGGAAACUUGGGCUAAUACCGGAUACGUCCGCAAGGAGAAAGAUUCAUUGCCGAAGGAUCGGCCCGCGUCCGAUUAGCUAGUUGGUGAGGUAACGGCCCACCAAGGCGACGAUCGGUAGCUGGUCUGAGAGGAUGAUCAGCCUCACUGGGACUGAGACACGGCCCAGACUCCUACGGGAGGCAGCAGUGGGGAAUAUUGGACAAUGGGCGCAAGCCUGAUCCAGCCAUGCCGCGUGGGUGAUGAAGGCCCUAGGGUUGGAAAGCCCUUUCGGCGGGGAAGAUAAUGACGGUACCCGCAGAAGAAGCC
Molecule: ribosomal RNA, 413 nt
Filed under: uncultured soil bacterium
Lineage: Bacteria
Description: bacterial SSU rRNA
Rfam family: Bacterial small subunit ribosomal RNA
Source: RNAcentral